CAUUAAUGAAACGAAUGUCGAGAAGGGUUGUAGCUGGCCUUUCGGGGCAUGUGCACGCCUUGAUCGCAUAUCUACCUCUCACACCUGUGCACUAUGUGUAGCUUGGGAUGAUCACGACGUUAGAAAUGAUGUCGAAAGCCCUAGCUAUGAUUUUUUAUAAACCCAUGUAUGUUAUAGAACGAUGUUAUAGUGCGUAACGGCACGAAUAUAUACAACUUUCAGCAACGGAUCUCUUGGCUCUCGCAUCGAUGAAGAACGCAGCGAAAUGCGAUAAGUAAUGUGAAUUGCAGAAUUCAGUGAAUCAUCGAAUCUUUGAACGCACCUUGCGCUCCUUGGUAUUCCGAGGAGCAUGCCUGUUUGAGUGUCAUGAAAUUCUCAACUGCCUUUUAGCAUUUAUGUUAAGGGUGAAGUUGGAGUUGGAGGAUAACUGCUGGCGCGACUCAGGUUGCUUGUUGGCUCCUCUUAAAUGGAUGAGCUUUUCUGAUGGGAUUAUAGCUCGGUAACGCUGAUGUGAUAAUUAUCUACGUUAGACGUGAAUGGCUCCUACGGAAAAGGGACGUCUUUUGACUUGUAACAAAUCUGACCUCAAAUCAGGUAGGACUACCCGCUGAACUUAAGCAUA
Molecule: ribosomal RNA, 622 nt
Filed under: uncultured Pseudotomentella
Lineage: Eukaryota; Fungi; Basidiomycota; Agaricomycetes; Thelephorales; Thelephoraceae
Description: eukaryotic LSU rRNA
Rfam family: 5.8S ribosomal RNA (bases 214-367)
Source: RNAcentral